AUGCACGCUGGCGGCGUGCCUAAUACAUGCAAGUCGAGCGAACAGAUGAAGAGCUUGCUCCUCUGACGUUAGCGGCGGACGGGUGAGUAACACGUGGAUAACCUACCUAUAAGACUGGGAUAACUUCGGGAAACCGGAGCUAAUACCGGAUAAUAUAUUGAACCGCAUGGUUCAAUAGUGAAAGACGGUUUUGCUGUCACUUAUAGAUGGAUCCGCGCCGCAUUAGCUAGUUGGUAAGGUAACGGCUUACCAAGGCAACGAUGCGUAGCCGACCUGAGAGGGUGAUCGGCCACACUGGAACUGAGACACGGUCCAGACUCCUACGGGAGGCAGCAGUAGGGAAUCUGCCGCAAUGGGCGAAAGCCUGACGGAGCAACGCCGCGUGAGUGAUGAAGGUCUUCGGAUCGUAAAACUCUGUUAUUAGGGAAGAACAAAUGUGUAAGUAACUAUGCACGUCUUGACGGUACCUAAGCAGAAAGCCACGGCUAACUACGU
This 495-nucleotide ribosomal RNA is filed under the name uncultured bacterium. RNAcentral's name for it is "partial 16S ribosomal RNA". It matches the Rfam family "Bacterial small subunit ribosomal RNA", at positions 29 to 506 of the family's 1533-position model. The record is from RNAcentral.